RNAcentral lists this ribosomal RNA (496 nucleotides) under uncultured bacterium. Its description in RNAcentral is "partial 16S ribosomal RNA". It matches the Rfam family "Bacterial small subunit ribosomal RNA", at positions 899 to 1397 of the family's 1533-position model. The record is from RNAcentral.
ACUCAAAUGAAUUGACGGGGGCCCGCACAAGCGGAGGAGCAUGUGGUUUAAUUCGAUGAUACGCGAGGAACCUUACCAGGGCUUAAAUGGGAGACGACAGAUCUGGAAACAGAUUUUUCUUCGGACGUCUUUCAAGGUGCUGCAUGGUUGUCGUCAGCUCGUGCCGUGAGGUGUCAGGUUAAGUCCUAUAACGAGCGCAACCCCUAUUGUUAGUUGCCAGCGGGUCAUGCCGGGAACUCUAACAAGACUGCCGGUGCAAACCGUGAGGAAGGUGGGGAUGACGUCAAAUCAUCACGGCCCUUACGUCCUGGGCUACACACGUGCUACAAUGGACGGUACAGAGAGCAGCCACCACGCAAGUGGGCGCGAAUCUUCAAAGCCGUUCUCAGUUCGGAUCGGAGUCUGCAACUCGACUCCGUGAAGCUGGAUUCGCUAGUAAUCGCAGAUCAGCCAUGCUGCGGUGAAUACGUUCCCGGGCCUUGUACACACCGCCCGU